UACGUAGGCAGCAAGCGUUGUUCGGAGUUACUGGGCGUAAAGGGUGUGUAGGCGGUUGGAUAAGUGUGGUGUGAAAUCUCCCGGCUUAACUGGGAGGGUGCGCUACAAACUGUCUGACUAGAGUGUGGGAUGGGUAAGUGGAAUUCCUGGUGUAGCGGUGAAAUGCGUAGAUAUCAGGAGGAACACCGGUGGUGUAGACGGCUUUCUGGACCGUAACUGACGCUGAGAUACGAAAGCGUGGGUAGCAAACAGG
This 253-nucleotide ribosomal RNA is filed under the name uncultured bacterium. RNAcentral's name for it is "partial 16S ribosomal RNA". It matches the Rfam family "Bacterial small subunit ribosomal RNA", at positions 524 to 776 of the family's 1533-position model. The record is from RNAcentral.